Molecule: transfer RNA, 43 nt
Filed under: Quercus phellos
Lineage: Eukaryota; Viridiplantae; Streptophyta; Magnoliopsida; Fagales; Fagaceae
Description: tRNA-Lys
Source: RNAcentral
GGGUUGCUCCGACUAGUUCCGGGUUCGAGUCCCGGGCAACCCA